This 497-nucleotide ribosomal RNA is filed under the name uncultured bacterium. RNAcentral describes it as "partial 16S ribosomal RNA". It matches the Rfam family "Bacterial small subunit ribosomal RNA", at positions 28 to 507 of the family's 1533-position model. The record is from RNAcentral.
GAUGAACGCUGGCGGCGUGCCUAAUACAUGCAAGUCGAGCGAACAGAUGAGGAGCUUGCUCCUCUGACGUUAGCGGCGGACGGGUGAGUAACACGUGGAUAACCUACCUAUAAUACUGGGAUAACUUCGGGAAACCGGAGCUAAUACCGGAUAAUAUAUUGAACCGCAUGGUUCAAUAGUGAAAGACGGUUUUGCUGUCACUUAUAUAUGGAUCCGCGCCGCAUUAGCUAGUUGGUAAGGUAACGGCUUACCAAGGCAACGAUGCGUAGCCGGCCUGAGAGGGGGAUCGGCCACAAUGGAACGGAGACACGGUCCAGACUCCUACGGGAGGCAGCAGUAGGGAAUCUUCCGCAAUGGGCGAAAGCCUGACGGAGCAACGCCGCGUGAGUGAUGAAGGUCUUCGGAUCGUAAAACUCUGUUAUUAGGGAAGAACAAAUGUGUAAGUAACGAUGCACGUCUUGACGGUACCUAAUCAGAAAGCCACGGCUAACUACGUG